RNAcentral lists this ribosomal RNA (253 nucleotides) under uncultured bacterium. RNAcentral's name for it is "partial 16S ribosomal RNA". It matches the Rfam family "Bacterial small subunit ribosomal RNA", at positions 524 to 776 of the family's 1533-position model. The record is from RNAcentral.
UACGAAGGAUGCAAGCGUUGCGCGGAUUUAUGGGGUUUAAAGGGUGCGUAGGCGGCUUAUUAAGUUAGUGGUGAAAACGUUCGGCUUAACCGGAUACCCGCCAUUGAUACUGAUAGACUUGAGUGCGACAGAGGGUGUUGGAAUGUGUGGUGUAGCGGUGAAAUGCUUAGAUAUCACGCAGAACACCAAUUGCGAAGGCAGAUGCCUAUGUCGUAACUGACGCUGAGGCACGAAAGCGUGGGGAGCAAACAGG